Molecule: ribosomal RNA, 460 nt
Filed under: Centipeda noxia
Lineage: Bacteria; Bacillati; Bacillota; Negativicutes; Selenomonadales; Selenomonadaceae
Description: bacterial SSU rRNA
Rfam family: Bacterial small subunit ribosomal RNA
Source: RNAcentral
GACGAACGCUGGCGGCGUGCUUAACACAUGCAAGUCGAACGGAGCGAAUGAAAGCUUGCUUUUAUGAGCUUAGUGGCAAACGGGUGAGUAACACGUAGGCAACCUGCCGACAGGAUGGGGACAACAUUCCGAAAGGAAUGCUAAUACCGAAUGAAGCGGAGGAGAGGCAUCUCCCCUCCGUGAAAGAUGGCCUCUUUUUAUGCUAUCACCUGUCGAUGGGCCUGCGUCUGAUUAGCUGGUAGGUGAGGUAACGGCUCACCUAGGCGACGAUCAGUAGCCGGUCUGAGAGGAUGAACGGCCACAUUGGGACUGAGACACGGCCCAGACUCCUACGGGAGGCAGCAGUGGGGAAUCUUCCGCAAUGGGCGCAAGCCUGACGGAGCAACGCCGCGUGAGUGAAGAAGGUCUUCGGAUCGUAAAGCUCUGUUGAUGGGGACGAACGUGCCUAAUGCGAAUAGUA